This 319-nucleotide ribosomal RNA is filed under the name Streptococcus suis. RNAcentral describes it as "bacterial SSU rRNA". It matches the Rfam family "Bacterial small subunit ribosomal RNA", at positions 173 to 483 of the family's 1533-position model. Lineage: Bacteria; Bacillati; Bacillota; Bacilli; Lactobacillales; Streptococcaceae. The record is from RNAcentral.
CAGUAUUUACCGCAUGGUAGAUAUUUGAAAGGAGCAAUUGCUUCACUAUGAGAGGGACCUGCGUUGUAUUAGCUAGUUGGUGAGGUAACGGCUCACCAAGGCUUCGAUACAUAGCCGACCUGAGAGGGUGAUCGGCCACACUGGGACUGAGACACGGCCCAGACUCCUACGGGAGGCAGCAGUAGGGAAUCUUCGGCAAUGGGGGCAACCCUGACCGAGCAACGCCGCGUGAGUGAAGAAGGUUUUCGGAUCGUAAAGCUCUGUUGUAAGAGAAGAACUGUGAGAAGAGUGGAAAGUUUCUCACUUGACGGUAUCUUAC